RNAcentral lists this ribosomal RNA (503 nucleotides) under uncultured bacterium. Its description in RNAcentral is "partial 16S ribosomal RNA". It matches the Rfam family "Bacterial small subunit ribosomal RNA", at positions 30 to 523 of the family's 1533-position model. The record is from RNAcentral.
AUUGAACGCUGGCGGCAGGCUUAACACAUGCAAGUCGAGCGGGGUGAUGGUGCUUGCACUAUCACUUAGCGGCGGACGGGUGAGUAAUGCUUAGGAAUCUGCCUAUUAGUGGGGGACAACAUCUCGAAAGGGAUGCUAAUACCGCAUACGUCCUACGGGAGAAAGCAGGGGAUCACUUGUGACCUUGCGCUAAUAGAUGAGCCUAAGGCGGAUUAGCUAGUUGGUGGGGUACAGGCAUACCAAGGCGACGAUCUGUAGCGGGUCUGAGAGGAGGACCCGCCACACUGGGACUGCGACACGGCCCAGACUCCUACGGGAGGCAGCAGUGGGGAAUAUUGGACAAUGGGGGGAACCCUGAUCUAGCCAUGCCGCGUGUGUGAAGAAGGCCUUAUGGUUGUAAAGCACUUGAAGCGAGGAGGAGGCUCUUUUGGUUAAUACCCAAGAUGAGUGGACGUUACUCGCAGAAUAAGCACCGGCUAACUCUGUGCCAGCCGCCGCGGUAA